Molecule: long non-coding RNA, 493 nt
Organism: Chinchilla lanigera (long-tailed chinchilla)
Lineage: Eukaryota; Metazoa; Chordata; Mammalia; Rodentia; Chinchillidae
Exons: 3
Source: RefSeq, a predicted model, not a curated record
GGAAACAGAAGAGGGAUGUUCAUUAAGCAAGAAGAGGAUGUACAGAUCUCAAGGGGAGAAGAUCCCUUGUCCUCUGAGCACAGUUGGAGUUCCCAUAAACCAAGAGGUGUUAGCAGCACAAUAAUAGAUGAUUUGGCUCCCUAGUUCCUUUUAUAUUCUACCUGCCUGUUUCCAGCCCGGAGGAACUUGACCAUCUCUUGAUUCUCCUCAACAUCUCCACAACACUUUCUACCUCUCAGAGCACUUGCCAGAUGAAGCAUGGCCACUCUCUGAGGAGAUGAAGUCAGAGUUAGAAAGCACUGUGGAGACCUCCUCUGAAAGUUCAGUUGAUCCCACUCAGCAGAGCCGGUUUGACUAGGCCACGGGAUACCCAGAGAGCUGAUUGAACCUGGUCACCAGACAUGUCUCUGAGAUGUUUCUGGAAGAAAAAAGAGACAGCCUUCCCAAUGUGGGAGAGCAUCGUUCAGUCCACUGGGUCUGCACAGAACGAAAA